RNAcentral lists this ribosomal RNA (404 nucleotides) under uncultured bacterium. RNAcentral's name for it is "bacterial SSU rRNA". It matches the Rfam family "Bacterial small subunit ribosomal RNA", at positions 355 to 776 of the family's 1533-position model. The record is from RNAcentral.
UAGGGAAUCUUGCGCAAUGGGCGAAAGCCUGACGCAGCAACGCCGCGUGCGGGAAGAAGGCCUUCGGGUUGUAAACCGCUUUUGGCAGGAACGAAAAUGACGGUACCUGCAGAAUAAGGUGCGGCCAACUACGUGCCAGCAGCCGCGGUGACACGUAGGCACCAAGCGUUGUCCGGAUUUAUUGGGCGUAAAGAGCUCGUAGGCGGUUCAGUAAGUCGGGUGUGAAAACUCUGGGCUUAACCCAGAGACGCCACCCGAUACUGCUGAACUAGAGUUCGGUAGGGGAGCGGGGAAUUCCUAGUGUAGCGGUGAAAUGCGCAGAUAUUAGGAGGAACACCGGUGGCGAAGGCGCCGCUCUGGGCCGAUACUGACGCUGAGGAGCGAAAGCGUGGGUAGCAAACAGG